AUGGCUCCCAGAUGGGGCUGUGGGAGGAAGUUAAUUGGCACUGACGCAAAGACUUCUGCUGAAAUUGCAAAUCACCCCCAAAAUCAUCCCCCUCGCCUUACAAUCUUGCCACCGGACGGCUUUACCUCCGGAACUGAACACUCCUCCCCCCCGGCUUGGUGGCUCCCUCCGGGGUCUGCGUGCCCCCAGUCCCUCCCGCAGGCGCUGGAUGCACAGCCGGCGGCUCGGCUGCUCCUCAGUCACGCACACGUGGUGCCUCGGCGCCCACCCGCGCUCGUGAUUCGAGUGGCUCCUUAUCCUUGCAGAGCAUCCCUGCAGGGAAUAGGUGGUGUCUGCGUACGGACUCCGUGGGUCUGUACCUCUCCAGGAGCAGGGCUCGCUGCUGGCUGCUGUUUGCACACCUCUGAUCCCCAUGUUAUUUCCAGCGUGUUUGUGCAUCCUUCGGGAAUGACUCCCAUGUCGGACUGCUCCUUUGGUAGUCCAGGGGGUGGCCCAGCUGCUGACAUCACCACAAACCACCCAAGUGUCUCUGGUCCCUUUCCCUGUGUACAUUUGCUUUUCUGUCGCUGGUGGUGUCCUUCCCUUUAACACUAAAUAAAGGUGCAGCAGCGUAGAUCUCUGCUCCUCCU
This 629-nucleotide long non-coding RNA is filed under the name Chloebia gouldiae (Gouldian finch). RNAcentral's name for it is "Erythrura gouldiae (Gouldian finch) lncRNA (ENSEGOG00005004816.1)". The record is from RNAcentral. Lineage: Eukaryota; Metazoa; Chordata; Aves; Passeriformes; Passeridae.